GGAAGAGUGCCCGAGUGGUUUAAGGGAACAGUCUUGAAAACUGUCGUGGGUUAAAGCUCACCGAGAGUUCGAAUCUCUCCUCUUCCU
This 87-nucleotide transfer RNA is filed under the name Candidatus Moraniibacteriota bacterium. RNAcentral describes it as "tRNA-Ser". It matches the Rfam family "tRNA". From Rfam's summary of the family: Transfer RNA (tRNA) molecules are approximately 80 nucleotides in length. Their secondary structure includes four short double-helical elements and three loops (D, anti-codon, and T loops). Lineage: Bacteria; Candidatus Moraniibacteriota. The record is from RNAcentral.